UCUACCUGUCAAGUUGUUCCUGAUGCCUUGUUUCCAUUCCAAUUAAUGUGUUUCCCUAUUCAUUCAUAUGUAACUUAAUUGAGUACGUAGUACAACACUAUAGGUUACAUAUUGGAGCCUUUUCGCCAUAACUUUUCAAAUAACAGAGAACGAUGCAUUCUGCGCAGUCACAUGUCAUUUCAGUGUCUCUCCAAAAGUGGAAGUUUUCCACAUUUGAUUGUUUGUUUUAUUGUUAUUCAAGACCUUCACUCCGGAAAGAACCUGGCCAAUGCGAUUUAUCGCAUUUGCCUAGGUUUAAGAGAAAAGUUGCUGGCUUUUGUUGCGGACAAUCCCAGAAACAAUUAUAUGUACCAGGUGCCAGGAACUAGAAAAAAUAAUUGGAGCUUUCUGCUCGGAAAACGGAGUAAUAAGAUGCCCAUUCACUACACCACUAUGCUCAAUUGAAUCUCUGAUGUUACUCAAAGCUGGAUUGGGAAAUGUAGCGGAGUUUGAAAGUGGACCAAAUGAAACCACUGAGCAAAUAACCGGAGAACCAACUCGGCGUCGUGCUGGCGAUUUAAGAUAUGCACCAUCCAUGCAGCUAGAAAGGAGGCGGAAAAUACGGAUUGGUUUCAAAUGGACACUCCUGUCACGUCGGAGGACAUUUUUCGACACGCGCAAGUUAAAGGGACACAGUAUCUUUUUUAGUUGUUGAGCAAAUACUUAUGUAAAUAUGUAUUUGUCGUAGAAAAGUUAAUUAAAUUCAUUUUUAAAAAACACCCAUGUCUUCCGACAUAGCAUCUUUAGAUUUUAAAUAAAUAAUUUUAAAAUUUUGAAAUAUCUAGGAGCAAUGAGGAAAUGUUUAUGCUUCUGAAAGAUACAUUUGCAAGUCAAACCUUGAUUGAUACAUAUAUUAUGAAAGUGCAACAAUUCUAUAAAAAAAUGCUUUGGUAAAGCCAUGCAUUCUAAUUUUAAGUAGAUACACUAUUUAGUAAUGUGCUAUG
Molecule: long non-coding RNA, 983 nt
Organism: Folsomia candida
Lineage: Eukaryota; Metazoa; Arthropoda; Collembola; Entomobryomorpha; Isotomidae
Exons: 3
Source: RefSeq, a predicted model, not a curated record